Molecule: ribosomal RNA, 507 nt
Filed under: uncultured Glomeromycotina
Lineage: Eukaryota; Fungi; Glomeromycota
Description: SSU rRNA
Rfam family: Eukaryotic small subunit ribosomal RNA
Source: RNAcentral
AGCAGCCGCGGUAAUUCCAGCUCCAAUAGCGUAUAUUAAAGUUGUUGCAGUUAAAAAGCUCGUAGUUGAAUUUCGGGGUUAGUAGGUUGGUCAUGCCUCUGGUAUGUACUGGUCUCACUGAUUCCUCCUUCCUGAUGAGCCGUAAUGCCAUUAAUUUGGUGUUGCGGGGAAUUUGGACUGUUACUUUGAAAAAAUUAGAGUGUUUAAAGCAAGCUAACGCUUGAAUACAUUAGCAUGGAAUAAUGAAAUAGGACGUUCGAUCCUAUUUUGUUGGUUUCUAGGAUUGACGUAAUGAUUAAUAGGGAUAGUUGGGGGCAUUAGUAUUCAAUUGUCAGAGGUGAAAUUCUUGGAUUUAUUGAAGACUAACUACUGCGAAAGCAUUUGCCAAGGAUGUUUUCAUUAAUCAAGAACGAAAGUUAGGGGAUCGAAGACGAUCAGAUACCGUCAUAGUCUUAACCAUAAACUAUGCCGACUAGGGAUCGGAUGAUGUUAAUUUUUUAAUGACUC